This 468-nucleotide ribosomal RNA is filed under the name uncultured bacterium. RNAcentral describes it as "partial 16S ribosomal RNA". It matches the Rfam family "Bacterial small subunit ribosomal RNA", at positions 28 to 507 of the family's 1533-position model. The record is from RNAcentral.
GACGAACGCUGGCGGCGUGCUUAACACAUGCAAGUCGAACGGAAAGGCCCGGCGUUUGUGGGUUUCUCGUUUGGCGAACAGGGGAGUAACACGUGAGGAACCUGCCCUUGACUGUGGGAUAACUUCUGGGGACUGGGGCUAAUACCGCAGAGGAUCUCCUGCUGCAUGGUGUGGGAUGGAAAGUUACGGCGGUGGGGGCUGGUCUCGCGGCUUACGAGCUGGUUAGGCAGGUAGGUGUAUUCCAAGGCUUUGAAGGGUAGCCUGCCUUGGAGGGUGACCGGCCACAUUGCGCCUGAGGGAGGGCCCAGAAUGCUAUGGGAGGCAGUAGUGGAGAACAUUGCACAAUGGGCGGACGUCUGAUGCAGCAGCGUUGCGUGCGGGAUGCUCGCUUUUGGGUUGUAAACCGAUUUGGACUGUGCUGAAGAGUGCGUGACGGUAAUGGGUAAAGAAGCACCGGCUAACUACGUG